CAGGGACUGAGAUUGGCUGGAAAGGAGAGGAUGGGCGAGGAGAGGAUGGGAGAGGAAAGGAGAGGAGAAGAAAGAGGAGAGGAGCGGAAAUCUGAACACAGGUCACAUCUAGACAGCGUGCAAGUCAGAGGUAAAGCUAGAAAAAAAUGACAGGAGGAAAGAAUAAAGACAAAUGGGUGAUUGGGACCCAGAUGGGGAAAUGACCAACUGUUUGGUAAGGAUAGGCAAUGUGCAUAAAAAAGAUGGUUUCCCUGUGUGACUAAGAGGAUAGGGAUUAAAGAGAUAAGAGUGAAAGGGAAAGGAGGGAAAGAGGAAAGAGAAGGAGACAAAGUAAUCAGCACACAAGCGCAGAUCUAAAUGCUUAGAAAAUCACCAGGCUGAGCCAGAAGAGCCACAGCCAUACCCAAGAGGGGACCAUCAGAAAGACAGAAGCAGGCAAUUUAAGCAGCUAGCCACUGGGGUAGAAAAAAAAAUGAAAAGAAAAAAUAGAAGAUGGAAAAGGUGAGAAGCAGGAGAGGAAAAGCCCAAAGGAGACACUGGCCCAGAAACCUUUUUAACUUUCUGUAAGAAUCUUUAAGGCCCCAAACUAGGCCAGGAUUCUGACUGACAUUUCUGAGCUCACCAGCUGCUGUUUCCUUGGGAGGAUUCUGACAGGAUGGCAUAGAAAUUCAAGCCAACACCGCCAGCCCUGGAAAUAAAUAAAUAACACUCUACUAAACAUGUCAAUGGGGACAGAAGCCUGCGGGAAGAAAGCCCACAGAGAAGGAGGGACCUGCCUGCGACUCUCCCCAGAGGUCUGAGUCCAAACCCAAAGGGAGUUGAACUCUCAGAGGGCAGUGCUGAGCUGAGGAGACCCCACAUGGCCCAAAGUUGUGCCUCACCCACCAAAGAGCUUCUGAGGAAGGGAGAAGGAUGAGGGUUGUCCUUCCUUCGCUGAGCUCCAGCCCCAAGAUGGCUUCAUGUCCUCUGGAGGCCCUGCCUCCUUGUUUUUAGGGCCUGGACGAGGGACAGUGGACUCUCCAAAGUAUCUGCUCUCGAGGCUGCAUCACCUCACGAGGGAACUGCCCCCUGCUCUGGCUGGUCAAACGGAACCAAGUCCGUCUUCCUGAGAGGUUUGGUCCCCUUCAACCAGCUACAGCAGGGCUGGCAAUGCCCAGUCCUUCGAGAAACAGAAGAGACUCACCUGUGGCUGAAAUUACCUGCUAAAACUUUUCAUGUAAAAACAACUCUCAUUUGGUCAUCAUAUCUGCAUGCUCCCAAGGAAGGCAGAAAAGAGAAGCCCUAGGUUCAAAUGAGAGCAAGGUGCUCAACACACAGAUCUUUUGCACCCACAAGCAGAGCCACACGUGAACUUGACACACACAGUGAGUAAUGGCUUUCACGAUGGAGUUUGUGCAGGCCUGGCCAGCCAGGGGAAGACACUCAGACAUCGAAGGCAGGGCUGUCAGUGACCUAGGUAAAGAAAUUGACUUUAACUAUGGCACAAUUCAAUGUAACUGCAAGUCAGAAUAUGGCUAGUUCCAAGACGUGAUUCUUAAAUAGCGCACCAAGUACACCUAGGACAUAUUUGUUUCAGUUAACUUCAAAUAACCCUUUGUUUUCUCAUCUGUAAAAUAGGGACAAUGACACCUACUUCAAAGUAGCUAUAAGAUUUUUUAAAAGCUAAGAGUCAAAUAUAAGCCCUCAAGAAAUGGCAGCUGCUGUCAUUGUGCUGUUGUAAAUGGCAGUAACAUGAGGACAAGGCUUUGUCCAGGGGUAUUCAUAUCUGGAAGGGGAAGGCCAAAUUUUUUAAAAAUAGAAGUACUCAAAAAAAUAAAACUUUAUUUUAGGUUAUUUUUAUUCCAACCAUUAAUUCUACUAGCAUGCAAAAUGUGUUCCUCCUAGUCUGUCCUAUUAGAAUAUAACAAGUUUUACUAAGACCGGCUGCAUACAUGAGACGGCCAUUGCUAUCUGAAAUAUCUGAUCUGAGAAGCCUUCUUUAAUAAGUGCUCUUAUGAUCUAGUCCAUAACCACACCUCCUCCUGUAUUAGAAAGCCAUGGAGUAUGUGCCCUGUAGUCAAUCCAGAGUGGAGGUUAGAUGUGUGUGCUGGAACUAGACUGCCUGGGCUCAAAUCCCUAUUUACCAGCUGUGCUACCUUGGGCAAGUUGCUUGACCUCUCUGGACCUGUGCUUUCUCAUCAGCAAAGUGGGAACACUGAUAACAGUAUCUACCUUGUAGGGUAUUCAUGGAAAUGAAAUGAAAAUACAUGUAAAGGCCUAAAACUAGUAUUGGGUACACAAUAAGUUCUCGAGAGGUUUUAUCUUUGGCAAUGUUCCUGAAGCUAAAUUGAUGUUCAAUAAAAACUUCUUAAUAAA
This is a long non-coding RNA of Heterocephalus glaber (naked mole-rat), 2355 nucleotides long. The record is from Ensembl. Lineage: Eukaryota; Metazoa; Chordata; Mammalia; Rodentia; Bathyergidae.